AUGAUGGUUAUUAGGUCUUUCCACUUUUCCGUGGAAAGACCUAAUAGUUUUGUUCUGAUUAUUAUUAGGUCUUUCCACCUUUCCGUGGAAAGACCUAUUGUUUUGUUCUGUUAUUAUUAGGUCUUUCCACCUUUCCGUCGUAUUAGGGAUUCUUUCCACCUUCCGUGAAAGACCUAUUAUUAUUAUUAAGUCUUUCUUUCUGUGGAAAGACUUAUUGCUGAUUAUUUAUUAUUAGGUCUUUCCACCUUUCCGUGGAAAGACCUAUAGGUUUUGUUCUGAUUAUUAUUAUUUUUUUUUUUCUUCCGCCUAAUUUUUUUUCUUGCGUAGUAUUGAUGUUUCAAAAGAUGUCGCUUAGAUAUUUGGAAUAUGAUAUCGUAUAGUUUAUACGCUUUAAAAAUUUACAACUGCGUAACAAAAUACUUUACGUUGUAAGAGUUAUCUCCCCAAACACUGUUUUUCUUGUGGCCACUACUCCUUCGCAACCG
Molecule: long non-coding RNA, 485 nt
Filed under: Mytilus galloprovincialis (Mediterranean mussel)
Lineage: Eukaryota; Metazoa; Mollusca; Bivalvia; Mytilida; Mytilidae
Source: RNAcentral